Benincasa hispida (wax gourd) is the source of this 1066-nucleotide long non-coding RNA. RefSeq lists it as uncharacterized. The record is from RefSeq and is a predicted model, not a curated record. NCBI's taxonomy places the organism in Eukaryota, Viridiplantae, Streptophyta, Magnoliopsida, Cucurbitales, Cucurbitaceae.
GGUAUAAUUGGUUUAAAUGUGGAGAUUUGAGUGCCCUCGGUUUGUGUGCACAGAAAAGAAAGAAAAGAAAAUUUUAAUUUUUUCCCUUCUUCUUUCUCCCAGCCCCACACGCGAGACCAUCCUCCCCCAAUUCUUUUCUUCAGCCAGUCGUACGUGAAUCUACAGUUUGCCAGUCGUCCGCGCCACUCACGGCUCAGCCCAACCAUCUUUGCCGCUCAUGCCUCAGCCCAGUCGCUGCCUAGCCGCUGCUUGCCGCUCGACCUCCGCUUUCAGCCAACCGCCUCGCGCACUGACGCUUUCCGCCAGUCGAGUUUUUCGAUUUUUCGUUCCCGUUCUUGCCGUCUGCCAGCCGCCGGCCAAAACCUAAGCGUCGUCUACCAGCUCUGACGCGGACAGUUCUGGUUGUCGCCGGAUUGGGGGUGGUUCCGACGAUCUUUCUGUUUAGAGAUAAGUUUCGGGUUAUUUUGGUAGGUUAUAAUGGUUGUUUUAGUUAAUUCUGGUUUUUCUAAUUGGUUUGGUGAAUAUUUAUGUUAAUUGAAUUUUAGAAUCGAGUUUUGAAACCCUUCACCUUGGCUUAUGUCUGGAUUGGAUUCCAUACUUGGAGCUCAUGUGUAGUUCUUGUUAAGUCGACGACAUUUUGAGACGAUUCAAGCAUUUGACUCAGGUCGAAGAGGGAUUUGAUUAAUGGUUGGGAUUUGUUUGCUAAUUGUUCGACAUAAAUUUGAGGUAAAGAUAGAGAUAGACCGACGAAUGACAAGAGAGAUCCGGGACAGGUAAGAUAGAGACAAAUGACAAGAGAGAUCCGGGACAGGUAAGAUAGAUCCGGGACAGGUAAAGGUAGAGAUAGAUCGAUCCUUCAAGAAAUGUAUUACCAAGCCUAGAUAAACUGUGAUAUUUUGUUAUUAGUUGUAAAUAUUUUGGUUCAUUUUUCUAUAUUUAAAAACAACUUUACUAAGUGCUAUUAAUAUUUUUUUAAUUUAAAAUUAAUUAACUUAUCCGUUGCUGUUUAAUGAUAAUCAAUUCAAGUUAAAUAUACCUAUGACACUAAAAAAUAGCCAUAGAAGUC